UGUGGUUAAAAAGCUCGUAGUUGGAUCUCAACAGCCUUGAAGCGGUUAACUUUGUAGUUUUACUGCUUUAUAGGCUGUGCUUUUGCUGGAGGUUUAGGGGUGCUCUUGAUCGAGUGUCUCUGGAUGCCAGCAGGUUUACUUUGAAAAAAUUAGAGUGCUCAAAGCAGGCUAAAAUGCCUGAAUAUUCGUGCAUGGAAUAAUAGAAUAGGAUGUCGAUCCUAUUUUGUUGGUUUUCGGGACUCGACAUAAUGAUAAAUAGGGACAGUCGGGGGCAUUUGUAUUCAAACGACAGAGGUGAAAUUCUUGGACCGUUUGAAGACAAACUACUGCGAAAGCAUUUGCCAAGAAUGUUUUCAUUAAUCAAGAACGAAAGUUAGAGGUUCGAAGGCGAUUAGAUACCGCCCUAGUUCUAACCAUAAACGAUGCCAGCUAGCGAUCUGCCUGCGUUUUUACUGUAGACUGGGCAGGAAGCUUCCGGGAAACCAAAGCAUUUGGGUUCCAGGGGAAGUAUGGUUGCCAAGCUGAAACUUAGAGGAAUUGACGGAAGGGCACCACCAGGAGUGGAGCCUGUGGC
Molecule: ribosomal RNA, 574 nt
Filed under: uncultured marine eukaryote
Lineage: Eukaryota
Description: SSU rRNA
Rfam family: Eukaryotic small subunit ribosomal RNA
Source: RNAcentral